CUACAGCUCGCUAACCUUUUCAGUGACUUUCAUCUUUCAUCGUUGAUUUCUUAGGCAAUUGAGGCUUUGUUUGUAUCUGUCCCUUCUGUGUUGUUCCAGCCUCAGAACAUCAGUUUAUCUCCUGCUACGGUUAUGGUGAGCUAGAAGGACCACUGAUCUCGAUUGUAAAAGGCUGGAUCGCGGAUAGGGAGCGCGAGCGUGAAGAAACCGGCCGCCAUCUUACGGUGCCCACAACAGUCGCCCAGUCGCCGCAGCGAUCAUGGCAACUUCUUGCAAUUACGGUCGUACCAACCGUACUGGCAAGGUUACAGGGCCUAAAUUUAUACAGGUUUCGUCAUGAGAGCUACCCAGUGAAUAAUCUGUGUAGUGUGAUACGGCUGGGUGUACAGGUAAGUAUCACGUUCCUCAUUCACUGGUUUCUACUUUACAGGAAGGAACAACCUCAGUGCACGCACUGUGGUUAGCCUCUCUCAGUUUUGCAUAUUUUCUUACCUGUUCACAUCAGAAACACACCUUACACUUUAGGCUCCUUCACCCAGCAAUAUAAUAAUUAGAGAUUAUAAUUCUUUUGAGAAGAGUUCCCCAUAUUAUUUUUAGAAUAGUUUCUCAUCUUUUUAAUUUUUAGAAGAUACAGGGAUUGUAAACCAUGUUUUAAACUGAUGUUUUAACAUUUGUCCAAUGCAUUUAUUAAACAACAUACUCAUUUUUAACUGGUUGCACCCAAACCAAUGUUCUGAUGUAUUAUUUCCUUUGUUGUCGAUGCACCAUAAAAAUUGGAAUAAUCAUCAUCAAUGCAGGUUACUUCACUCAAGAAAUGGGUGCAGAACCUGCGUAAUGCCCACAAAUUUUGAUUACCACAGCACCUCCAGAAAGUAUGUGUCACAUGGGAUUUUUAAAUGUAUUCACAGUAUAUAAUACCUUGUAUUAACUGUUGUAGAUCUAAGCCGUCUCUACAGUACACUCUCAGAAAUUAAACCGUGAGAACCGUGAUAAUUGUUUCAGUUAAUAGGCACGCACAUAUAUGCUAUAAGAAGAAAAUUAUUUCUUGAGAAUGCACUUCUCUGGCUACUGGUGUUGUUUACAUCUACUGUUGAUCACAUUCAUUUAUCACAUAUUAUAUUCUUAUAUAUAAUAUUAUAUUAACACAUAUUUGAUCACAUUAAAUUCAAAAUUCAUCAUAUAUAAGAAAAUACCAGGAGGGAAGUUGCUAUUCAUUGCUCAUUCUUACCUAAAAUUGAGUGCUACAAAUUUAGAGAGAGUACCUGUCCAUUGACAUUCCUAAAAUAUAUAUUGUCAUUGUAGCAAGGUCAUAAAACAAUAAAUGUAGUCUUUUGUGACCUUCCUGCACGUUCAUUGUAUCCUGAAACGCAUAAGUGCAAGAAAUAACUUGAAUAAACUUGAUGUUGUAUAAACUUGAUAUAAAAUGCUGAAUAAUAUAAUGUAUGAUAUAAAAUGUUGAAUAAACUUGAACUUGUAUAUUCUCUUUA
Long non-coding RNA from Ornithodoros turicata, 1487 nucleotides. RefSeq lists it as uncharacterized. Lineage: Eukaryota; Metazoa; Arthropoda; Arachnida; Ixodida; Argasidae. The transcript has 2 exons. The record is from RefSeq and is a predicted model, not a curated record.